This 469-nucleotide ribosomal RNA is filed under the name uncultured bacterium. Its description in RNAcentral is "partial 16S ribosomal RNA". It matches the Rfam family "Bacterial small subunit ribosomal RNA", at positions 28 to 508 of the family's 1533-position model. The record is from RNAcentral.
GACGAACGCUGGCGGCGUGCUUAACACAUGCAAGUCGAACGGAAAGGCCCUGCUUUUGUGGGGUGCUCGAGUGGCGAACGGGUGAGUAACACGUGGGUAACCUGCCCUUGACUUUGGGAUAACUUCAGGAAACUGGGGCUAAUACCGGAUAGGAGCUCCUGCUGCAUGGUGGGGGUUGGAAAGUUUCGGCGGUUGGGGAUGGACUCGCGGCUUAUCAGCUUGUUGGUGGGGUAGUGGCUUACCAAGGCUUUGACGGGUAGCCGGCCUGAGAGGGUGACCGGCCACAUUGGGACUGAGAUACGGCCCAGACUCCUACGGGAGGCAGCAGUGGGGAAUAUUGCACAAUGGGCGGAAGCCUGAUGCAGCAACGCCGCGUGCGGGAUGACGGCCUUCGGGUUGUAAACCGCUUUCGCCUGUGACGAAGCGUGAGUGACGGUAAUGGGUAAAGAAGCACCGGCUAACUACGUGC